UGGAGCCAACAUUGAGGCUCAAGAACAAGAACGUGGAGGAUCGGUGAACGUUGCACACCAAGGUAGGCCUGCCUAACCGAUGAGAAUGCUCAGAGAGUGAAGGUCCAGUCAAGUGAUUGCCACGGGAAUGCCCAACCGUGAGACAGAUCUGGAGAGUUGAUUUGUGCCGAUGCAAGGUAAGUUUACCAUGGGACAAGCAUUUAGUUAGCAGGAUUUAUUUAUCUCAGGACUUAAACAGUCUCUCAAGACAUGAGGAACAAGGGUAAAAAAGAAAGAUUUAAAAAAGUUUCUUGAUUAUAUUGGGGACUUUUGUCCCU
This is a regulatory RNA element of Neotoma lepida (desert woodrat), 317 nucleotides long. It matches the Rfam family "Mason-Pfizer monkey virus packaging signal". From Rfam's summary of the family: The packaging signal is located in the 5' UTR and is required for specific RNA encapsidation. Lineage: Eukaryota; Metazoa; Chordata; Mammalia; Rodentia; Cricetidae. The record is from Rfam.